This 427-nucleotide ribosomal RNA is filed under the name uncultured bacterium. RNAcentral describes it as "bacterial SSU rRNA". It matches the Rfam family "Bacterial small subunit ribosomal RNA", at positions 355 to 774 of the family's 1533-position model. The record is from RNAcentral.
UGGGGAAUUUUGGACAAUGGGCGCAAGCCUGAUCCAGCCAUGCCGCGUGCGGGAAGAAGGCCUUCGGGUUGUAAACCGCUUUUGUCAGGGAAGAAAUCCUUUGAGCUAAUACCUCGGGGGGAUGACGGUACCCUUUUAGCAAGCACCGGCUAACUCUGUGCCAGCAGCCGCGGUAAGACAGAGGGUGCAAACGUUGUUCGGAAUUACUGGGCGUAAAGCGUGCGCAGGCGGUUAUGCAAGACAGAGGUGAAAUCCCCGGGCUCAACCUGGGAACUGCCUUUGUGACUGCAUAGCUAGAGUACGGUAGAGGGGGAUGGAAUUCCGCGUGUAGCAGUGAAAUGCGUAGAUAUGCGGAGGAACACCGAUGGCGAAGGCAAUCCCCUGGACCUGUACUGACGCUCAUGCACGAAAGCGUGGGGAGCAAACA